This is a long non-coding RNA of Triticum aestivum (bread wheat), 542 nucleotides long. RefSeq lists it as uncharacterized. Lineage: Eukaryota; Viridiplantae; Streptophyta; Magnoliopsida; Poales; Poaceae. The transcript is spliced from 3 exons. The record is from RefSeq and is a predicted model, not a curated record.
AUCUGGUCAAAAUCUUCACGCCGCGUGAGAGAAAAGGCAAGUGUCGGUCCACCGCUGCUUGGCUGAGGGGAAUCGAUUUGGAGGAGGUCAUCAGGGCUUCAGUGGUCGACGACGGCGCCCCCGGCGGCCCUCUACGGUGUGGCCAACGACCGCCUCCCAGUGACCCCGACCAUUCAGCUGAAUUGGCAACAACAAGGUGCCGCGGUGGGCUGCACUAAUGAUGGUUCUUUUCAAAAAUCAUGGUAUUUGUCUACUGAUAUGACAACUCUGAUGAUUACUAUUGCGCCGUAGGCACCUCUCAUCCUCUACACUCAACAGGAGCCAUGGAUCUCAUGAAUGACCUCUAGGAUGUCAUAGCAACAUGUCUUUGAACAGGAUGGAUAGAUCAAAUGGGAUGGUCUGAAGGUGUAGUUCAAGUGUAUCUGUAUUUUCCUCUAAAAGAUGUCAAGGAAUAUUGAUUUUUAUUAUUAUCUGUAUUUGGUUAUGAGCUCUCAGUGAGGAACAUGGGGAAUGCUUAUGAAAGCUACAAUUUUAACCAAGUA